Long non-coding RNA from Xiphophorus couchianus (Monterrey platyfish), 168 nucleotides. RefSeq lists it as uncharacterized. The transcript has 3 exons. NCBI's taxonomy places the organism in Eukaryota, Metazoa, Chordata, Actinopteri, Cyprinodontiformes, Poeciliidae. The record is from RefSeq and is a predicted model, not a curated record.
AACAGCAGAAAAAAAAGAAAAAAAAACACACAAUGUGACAUCGCUUUAAACCAUCACGCAAGGAUUAAACUGACAGCAUUAGCGCUUUUUAUUAGUUUAAAAAACAAAAAAGAAGUCCUCAAAUUUGGAAACCACUCCCAAAUUUUCUAAAUGUUUAACAAAAAAAGU